GACGAACGCUGGCGGCGUGCUUAACACAUGCAAGUCGAACGAGAUCCAUGUUGUAGCAAUACUUCGGAAGAUCUAGUGGCGAACGGGUGAGGAACACGUGAGGAACCUGCCCCGGACUUCGGGAUAACAGUUGGAAACGAUUGCUAAUACCGAAUACCUCUGCGAAGUGGCAUCACUAUGCACAGAAAGAAUUCCGGUCCGGGAGGGUCUCGCGGCCUACCAGCUAGUUGGAGGGGUAACGGCCUACCAAGGCAUCGACGGGUAGCUGGUCUGAGAGGAUGAACAGCCACACUGGGACUGAGACACGCCCCAGACUCCUACGGGAGGCAGCAGUGGGGAAUCUUGUGCAAUGGGCGAAAGCCUGACACAGCAACGCCGCGUGCGGGAAGAAGGCCUUCGGGUCGUAAACCGCUUUCAGCAGGAACGAAAAUGACGGUACCUGCAGAAGCAGGUGCGGCCAACUACGUGCCAGCAGCCGCCGCGG
This 484-nucleotide ribosomal RNA is filed under the name uncultured bacterium. Its description in RNAcentral is "partial 16S ribosomal RNA". It matches the Rfam family "Bacterial small subunit ribosomal RNA", at positions 28 to 523 of the family's 1533-position model. The record is from RNAcentral.